UUUUUUUAAUUAAUAAGAAUUAUAUUUGUAAUUUAUUUUUUUAUAAAAGUAUUUUAUUUAUUUUUUGUUUUAGUAUUAAGUAAAAAUAAAUUUUUAGAUUUAUAGUUAAUUAGUAUUGUAAAAGAAAUUUAAUAAAUUUAAAAAAGAUUUAUUUAGUACCUUUUGUAUCAGGGUUAAUUAAAAUUAUUAAUAUAUUAUUAAUUUCUCAAAAUUUAUAGAGUUAAUUUUAUUAUUAAGUUAUUGUUUAAAAAAUAUUUAAAAAAUAAUUUUAGUUUUUAGAUUUAAUUUCGUUAUAAUAUAUUUAGUUAUUUAAGAUUUAAAUUAAAUUUAUAAUUUUAAUAGUUAUAUUUAUUUAUUUUAUAAUUUAUAUUUUAAAUUUAAAUUAUUUUAGGGAUAAGCUUAAAAUUUGUAUAUAAUAAUUUAUAAAGAAUUAAUAUUUGAUAGGAAUAAAAAUUUUUAUUUAAGUUUGUAAAAAUUUGUUAUUAAUUUAAAUUUAAUUUAUUAUAUUUUUAUUUAUUUUUUAUAUUAAAUUUUAUAAUAUAAUAUUUUUAUUAUAGUAAUAAUGAUUAAAUUAGUAUAAUUAAUAUUUAUUAAUUAUGAAUUCGGCAAAAAUUUAUUUUCAUCUGUUUAACAAAAACAUUGUAUUAAUUUUUAUUUAAUAUAGGAUCUGCUCAAUGAAAAUUUUUUAAAUAGCUGCAGUAUUUUGACUGUGCAAAGGUAGCAUAAUAAUUAGUCUUUUAAUUGGGGACUUGUAUGAAAGAUUUGAUGAAAAAUAAACUUUAUUAUUAAUAUAUUUAAAAUUUUAUUUUUAAGUAAAAAAGCUUAAAUUAUUUAAAGGGACGAUAAGACCCUAUAAAACUUUAUAAUUAUUAAAUAUUUAUAUUUAUUUGUUUAAUUAUUAUUUAAAUUUUAAUGAUUAUUUUAUUGGGGUGAUAAAAAAAUUUUAUUAACUUUUUUUAAAUUUUUACAUUAUUUAAUGAAUUUUUGAAUUAAAAUUUUUAAUUAUAGGAAAAAGUUACUUUAGGGAUAACAGCGUAAUUAAUUUUUUAAGUUCUAAUUUUAAAAUUAGU
Molecule: ribosomal RNA, 1070 nt
Filed under: Tuberaphis styraci
Lineage: Eukaryota; Metazoa; Arthropoda; Insecta; Hemiptera; Hormaphididae
Description: partial large subunit rRNA
Source: RNAcentral